This 668-nucleotide ribosomal RNA is filed under the name Brevibacillus brevis. RNAcentral describes it as "bacterial LSU rRNA". It matches the Rfam family "Bacterial large subunit ribosomal RNA", at positions 1 to 661 of the family's 2925-position model. Lineage: Bacteria; Bacillati; Bacillota; Bacilli; Caryophanales; Paenibacillaceae. The record is from RNAcentral.
UGUGGUUAAGUUACUAAGGGCACACGGUGGAUGCCUUGGCGCUAGGAGCCGAAGAAGGACGCAGCGAACUGCGAUAAGCCUCGGGGAGCGGUAAGCACGCUUUGAUCCGGGGAUCUCCGAAUGGGGCAACCCGACCAUCUGUAAUGGGAUGGUAUCCGUAUCUGAAUACAUAGGGUACGAGAAGGCAGACCCGGUGAACUGAAACAUCUAAGUAGCCGGAGGAAGAGAAAACAAUAGUGAUUCCGUCAGUAGUGGCGAGCGAACGCGGAAGAGCCUAAACCGUCGGGUUUACCCGGCGGGGUUGUGGGGCGUCUCACAUGGAGUUACAAAAGACGCGCGUAGGUGAACAGCUUGGGAAAGCUGACCAUAGAGCGUGAUAGUCGCGUAACCUAAACGCGCGUCUCUCCGAGACCAACCCCGAGUAGCGCGGGACACGUGAAAUCCCGUGUGAAUCUGGCAGGACCAUCUGCUAAGGCUAAAUACUACCUAGCGACCGAUAGUGAACCAGUACCGUGAGGGAAAGGUGAAAAGCACCCCGGGAGGGGAGUGAAAUAGUACCUGAAACCGUGUGCUUACAAAUAGUCGGAGCCCGUUAAAAGGGUGACGGCGUGCCUUUUGUAGAAUGAACCGGCGAGUUACGGUAGCGUGCGAGGUUAAGUUGAAGAGAC